Andrographis paniculata is the source of this 1170-nucleotide RNA transcript. It is a transcript of the gene named DNA-directed RNA polymerase V subunit 7-like, with no coding region annotated. The record is from RefSeq and is a predicted model, not a curated record. The transcript has 3 exons. NCBI's taxonomy places the organism in Eukaryota, Viridiplantae, Streptophyta, Magnoliopsida, Lamiales, Acanthaceae.
UCCAUCAGGCUGUGACUCCCGUCUUCGUCGCGUCUCUCGUCUUCUCCGUCUCAAAACCUUCCUCUUCUUCGUCCCCGCCUUCCAAGUUCCAAUAUUUGUUAUCCACCUGCCAUUUUCUUCUUCUCUAUCAUCUUCUUUAUCUCUUACUUUGACGUGUUUUGCUUCUCCGGCCUUCUUCGGCGUCCUCCCAGACAGGCGGUUCGUUGUCGUCGGCGUCUUCUACGAGUUCGUAGGAAGCUCUGUCGACUACGGAAAAAUGUUUCUCAAGACUCAGUUGUCAUGGGAUUUAAUGAUCCCUUCCGAAAGCCUCGAUUGCUCUUCCGGAAAAAUGCUUCAGAAGGCCGUUCUAGUUUGCCUCAUGGCCGAGGUUGCCGAGAGGAAGGCCUCCAUAGAAAGUGGCAUUUUCGUUGCCGUCAAAGAUAUCCACAGCAUCGGGGAAGGAAAAAUCAGGACGCAUCCCGGGAAUUUCAUAUUUCCGGUGAAGUUCAGCUGCAUCACUUUCAAGAUGCUUCCGGGAGAGGUGUUGGAAGGCACCGUUUACAAAGUUAUAAAGCACGGAGUCUUUUUGACAUGCGGCCCCGCGGACAAAGUUUACCUUUCUCAUCGAACAAUGUCUGAAUACGAGUACUUUCCUGGCGAGCCUCCCUUCUUCAAGAACUUGAAAUCAGUGAAGAUAGAAAAAGGCACGGUGGUGCGAUUUGUUGUUCUUGGACAUAAGUUCGAUGAGGCCGAGAAAGAGUUUCGAACAGUUGUUAGCUUGGAUGCCUUGGAGGAUUAUUAUCUUGGACCGGUCCCUUCUUAAUCGAAACAUUCUGUAAUGGAUCUCCACAACUUCUGCAAUCAUUGAUCAUCGAUAACAUGACAUGCUUUUAUGAAAAUGCAUUCGAGGUUCGGAAUUUUCUUCUUCUUCUUCUUCUUCAUCGAGGUAUGUAUGUUUUGUUAUUGUGAACUUAAUUUUCUUGAGCUGAAAAGAAAAGUCUUUUGGAAUAUAUGUGGAAGGAAUUGAUUGUUUUGAGUUGGCCCUUUUGUUGUGGUUUUUGGGGCUUAUUGUGUUUAGAUAAGAUUGGAUUCCAUUGAUAAACGAAUAUGAAGACUUGGAUCAUACGAAUAUGUUCUAUAGUAUAGCUGUUGAUGUGAUUUUAAAAAAUAUCAAGACUUGGAUUCCAUGUU